UACGAAGGUGGCAAGCGUUACUCGGAAUUACUAGGCGUAAAGCGCAGGUAGGCGGUUCGAUAAGUCUUUUGUGAAAGCUCCCGGCUUAACUGGGAGAGGUCAAGGGAUACUAUCGGGCUAGAGUGUGGUAGAGGAUACUGGAAUUCCCGGUGUAGCGGUGAAAUGCGUAGAUAUCGGGAGGAAUACCUAUGGCGAAAGCAGGUAUCUGGGCCAUCACUGACGCUGAGCUGCGAAAGCUAGGGGAGCAAAC
RNAcentral lists this ribosomal RNA (250 nucleotides) under uncultured bacterium. RNAcentral describes it as "partial 16S ribosomal RNA". It matches the Rfam family "Bacterial small subunit ribosomal RNA", at positions 524 to 773 of the family's 1533-position model. The record is from RNAcentral.